This 63-nucleotide transfer RNA is filed under the name Crangon hakodatei. Its description in RNAcentral is "tRNA-Gly". The record is from RNAcentral. Lineage: Eukaryota; Metazoa; Arthropoda; Malacostraca; Decapoda; Crangonidae.
AUUCUUUUAUUAUAAUAAGUAAAAUUGACUUCCAAUCAAUAAGUCUGGUCUCCAGAAAGAAUA